Molecule: long non-coding RNA, 337 nt
Filed under: Junco hyemalis (dark-eyed junco)
Lineage: Eukaryota; Metazoa; Chordata; Aves; Passeriformes; Passerellidae
Description: lncRNA (ENSJHYG00000005685.1)
Source: RNAcentral
UCUUCUGAGCAAGGUUUGGGUGGCCUCAGUUGUACCCCAGAAUAAAAUUGGUUUUCUUUAUUUUUAAAUAACAGGAAACAACAAGCAUAAUAGAGAAGAACGAGCAAAUAAUGAAGACACAUGGGAAGGUUUUGUGCAGUUCAAUGUUGCUGAAAAAUAGCAUUUCUUCAAUCAAGUGCCAAAAGAGGCAUGGGUGAAUUUUCUGCACCAAGGAGGUCUCCCUUUUGUCCUGCACCAAGCAAAAUUUGGGACUUGUGACCUCAGAGAGAGCACUCAUACCCGGGACCCUGCAACUGAAUCUGUGGAAAUCUGAAAUGUGUCUGGAAAUAAUGGAGGG